GUUAAUCGGAAUUACUGGGCGUAAAGCGCACGCAGGCGGUCUGUUAAGUCAGAUGUGAAAUCCCCGGGCUUAACCUGGGAACUGCAUUUGAAACUGGCAGGCUUGAGUCUCGUAGAGGGGGGUAGAAUUCCAGGUGUAGCGGUGAAAUGCGUAGAGAUCUGGAGGAAUACCGGUGGCGAAGGCGGCCCCCUGGACGAAGACUGACGCUCAGGUGCGAAAGCGUGGGGAGCAAACAGGAUUAGAUACCCUGGUAGUCCACGCCGUAAACGAUGUCGACUUGGAGGUUGUUCCCUUGAGGAGUGGCUUCCGGAGCUAACGCGUUAAGUCGACCGCCUGGGGAGUACGGCCGCAAGGUUAAAACUCAAAGGAA
RNAcentral lists this ribosomal RNA (370 nucleotides) under uncultured Pantoea sp. RNAcentral's name for it is "bacterial SSU rRNA". It matches the Rfam family "Bacterial small subunit ribosomal RNA", at positions 540 to 909 of the family's 1533-position model. The record is from RNAcentral. Lineage: Bacteria; Pseudomonadati; Pseudomonadota; Gammaproteobacteria; Enterobacterales; Erwiniaceae.